Molecule: unclassified non-coding RNA, 148 nt
Filed under: Ascomycota sp.
Lineage: Eukaryota; Fungi; Ascomycota
Description: partial contains small subunit ribosomal RNA and internal transcribed spacer 1
Rfam family: Eukaryotic small subunit ribosomal RNA (bases 1-47)
Source: RNAcentral
AAAGUCGUAACAAGGUUUCCGUAGGUGAACCUGCGGAAGGAUCAUUGCAGAGGGUUGAAGAGAAAAGUAUGUUGGAAUGUGAGAAGAGUAAAAUUUGACAACUACAACAAAACUAUAAUAACUAGCCACCUUGGAUCUCUGGGCUCUU